RNAcentral lists this long non-coding RNA (309 nucleotides) under Elaeis guineensis (African oil palm). RNAcentral describes it as "long non-coding RNA (EGUI_LNC015732)". The record is from RNAcentral. Lineage: Eukaryota; Viridiplantae; Streptophyta; Magnoliopsida; Arecales; Arecaceae.
CUGCUUGUUGGGUACAAAGGCGUCCAAGGAAAUCGUGCACAGCUCCUACUCAUCCUUCCUCCGUCUCAUUUCCAUGGAUACUUCUCGCGCUUCCCCAACUUCUUCGUAGCUUUCUUCAACUCCUACAAAAAAAAAGAUAAUGGGUAGAUGUUAAGUGUUCUUUGGUGCUUGGUAAAAGAUAUAGACAGAAGCUAACCGGUGGCUGCCGGUUUCAGUAUGGGUCAUAAUCUGGAGAGCCUCAUCUGUACUCAUUCCAAGCUCUUGCAUUCGCUGGGGCGGUGAAGGCGAAGCUUUUAGCACACAUCCUUC